RNAcentral lists this ribosomal RNA (427 nucleotides) under uncultured bacterium. Its description in RNAcentral is "partial 16S ribosomal RNA". It matches the Rfam family "Bacterial small subunit ribosomal RNA", at positions 355 to 774 of the family's 1533-position model. The record is from RNAcentral.
UGGGGAAUAUUGGACAAUGGGUGAAAGCCUGAUCCAGCCAUGCCGCGUGUGUGAAGAAGGUCUUCGGAUUGUAAAGCACUUUAAGUUGGGAGGAAGGGCAUUAACCUAAUACGUUAGUGUUUUGACGUUACCGACAGAAUAAGCACCGGCUAACUCUGUGCCAGCAGCCGCGGUAAUAAAGAGGGUGCAAGCGUUAAUCGGAAUUACUGGGCGUAAAGCGCGCGUAGGUGGUUUGUUAAGUUGGAUGUGAAAUCCCCGGGCUCAACCUGGGAACUGCAUUCAAAACUGACUGACUAGAGUAUGGUAGAGGGUGGUGGAAUUUCCUGUGUAGCGGUGAAAUGCGUAGAUAUAGGAAGGAACACCAGUGGCGAAGGCGACCACCUGGACUAAUACUGACACUGAGGUGCGAAAGCGUGGGGAGCAAACA